This 593-nucleotide long non-coding RNA is filed under the name Homo sapiens (human). RNAcentral's name for it is "HSALNT0358186". Lineage: Eukaryota; Metazoa; Chordata; Mammalia; Primates; Hominidae. The record is from RNAcentral.
UGCGUGUUGUGAUGGCUCCCUCUGAUGGCAGUCGCUGGAUGCUUCAUCCACGUGUAGUGGUUUUCUUUCCUCUGCACACCUCUCAGUACAUACUCCAGCUGGGACAAUCUUUUCAGAUGAACACCCUGUUUUUAUCCCAGUCUGAUAAAUUUUUCUUGAAAAGAGGUCAAACAGGAAAGCAAACCUUCCUCUGCCUGUCUCAGUGCAAUCAUGAAGAUCACGCAAGAUAGUCCCUGUUGGAGUGUGUGUGCUUCAGCAGUGCAGAGCAUUCAAAGGUUUGAGGUGAAGGCCAAAAUAGAAAUUGCCAUCAAGCUCCAGAUGAUCCUCAGUGAGGGAUACCGCUCUCUCAGUAUUCAAGAGUCACCCUUCCACAGAGAAGCCCUAGACUGCCCAUCAGUGGAAUAUGAGAGAGAGCCAGAGCCUUCAGACCAAGACAAUCGAACAUCCCUGGAUAUCUGAGAUAGCCAGCCUUUCUUCUGGAGAGCUUCCCAGGUAACCAGCAUCCGAAACCCCAGCUGCUGUCUCCAUGGUGAUCAGGAUACCCCCUGUGAUGAAGUCUUGCUCUGUCGCCCAGACUAGAUUGCAGUGAUGUG